This 229-nucleotide ribosomal RNA is filed under the name uncultured bacterium. Its description in RNAcentral is "partial 16S ribosomal RNA". It matches the Rfam family "Bacterial small subunit ribosomal RNA", at positions 524 to 752 of the family's 1533-position model. The record is from RNAcentral.
UACGAAGGGGGCUAGCGUUGCUCGGAAUCACUGGGCGUAAAGGGUGCGUAGGCGGGUCUUUAAGUCAGAGGUGAAAGCCUGGAGCUCAACUCCAGAACUGCCUUUGAUACUGAGGAUCUCGAGUUCGGGAGAGGUGAGUGGAACUGCGAGUGUAGAGGUGAAAUUCGUAGAUAUUCGCAAGAACACCAGUGGCGAAGGCGGCUCACUGGCCCGAUACUGACGCUGAGGC